AAGAGUUCCAAGAGGCCGCGCUCAAAGGUGAGCGCUAGAGUCUUGCACUGCAUAGAUACUGACUUUUUUCUUCUUUCUUUUCUGGUGGUCUCAGAGUUUGGAGUGGCCGCGGGGAGCCUGGAACUAGAUCAAGGCAGAGACAACUUUCAAAUUCGCGAAGCCCCCACCCCCACUCCCAGAGUGAGGUCCAUCCUGCUGAGCAAGACCCUGGGAGUUGUGAAACAGAAAAGAAAGGAUUGGUGGUGGAAGGAAGGAUGGGAGAAAUGGGACUGAUCCACCAUAGGGCUCCGGCUUAAGUCCACCCCUGGAUUCGGCCCAACUAGGUGGAAGCUGAAGGAACGUUCCCACGAGGGCUCCCAAGGACAAAGAAGCCAACCAGACCUCAUCUUCACCGCAGCCUCGACGGGCAGAGCGGCCCAGGAUAGCGAUUCUCUCGGCUCCCUGGUGUCCAUGGGUCCCUUGGAAUUUCCAGACCAAGGGUGGAGGGAGGUUAAACCCCAUCUCCGUUCCUGUUUCACACACACACACACACACACACACACACACACACACACACACACACACACACACACACACACACACGCAUAAAUAAUGCAGACGGGAGCCAAGAUUUCUGUAUCAGCACCGCGUUGCCCGGGCGGCUGGCACAAGGAUUCCAAAGACGGAGAAUGGAAAUUAAACUGUUGUUGUAUGAAGGGGGAUGUCAUUAUGUGACUGCUCAUAUUCAAAGUCGGGCAGCAGCGAAAUGUAAUCAUUUCAAUUAUCUUCAAUGUAUUUUCUUAGGACA
Molecule: long non-coding RNA, 787 nt
Filed under: Mus musculus (house mouse)
Lineage: Eukaryota; Metazoa; Chordata; Mammalia; Rodentia; Muridae
Description: predicted gene, 57419
Source: RNAcentral